This 301-nucleotide ribosomal RNA is filed under the name uncultured bacterium. Its description in RNAcentral is "partial 16S ribosomal RNA". It matches the Rfam family "Bacterial small subunit ribosomal RNA", at positions 509 to 807 of the family's 1533-position model. The record is from RNAcentral.
CAGCAGCCGCGGUAAUACAGAGGGUGCGAGCGUUAAUCGGAUUUACUGGGCGAAAAGCGUGCGUAGGCGGCUAAUUGAGUCGGAUGUGAAAUCCCCGAGCUUAACUUGGGAAUUGCAUUCGAUACUGGUUAGCUAGAGUGUGGGAGAGGAUGGUAGAAUUCCAGGUGUAGCGGUGAAAUGCGUAGAGAUCUGGAGGAAUACCGAUGGCGAAGGCAGCCAUCUGGCCUAACACUGACGCUGAGGUACGAAAGCAUGGGGAGCAAACAGGAUUAGAUACCCCCGUAGUCCCUGUCUCUUAUAC